UCCUGCCUCAGCCACCCGAGUGCUAGGAUCGCAGAUGAAGCGAUUGAGGACCAGAGAGAUGGAGCAGCCCAAAGCCACACCACUGGCAAGCCUCGGAGUAGGGAUUUAAACACAGGCCCUCCGACUGCUCUCCAAGGGGUCAGGAGUGUGUCAGGGCUUCAAACACUGGGGCAGCCAGGCGCAGUGGUGCUCGCCUGUAGUCUCAGCCUUUGGGAGGCUGAGGCAGGAGGAUCUCCUUGACUUCAAGACCAUC
This is a long non-coding RNA of Chinchilla lanigera (long-tailed chinchilla), 253 nucleotides long. RefSeq lists it as uncharacterized. The record is from RefSeq and is a predicted model, not a curated record. Lineage: Eukaryota; Metazoa; Chordata; Mammalia; Rodentia; Chinchillidae. The transcript is spliced from 3 exons.